AAGGGAAAAUAAGUGAAAAUUCAAAAAUCAAGUGAAAAAAGGUGGUGAGUCAAUUGUUUCGGGUAAGAGACUGCACCCGAGGGCGGAAGAUAGGAGUAUUUCUACUCCUAAUACUGUUCAGUAUAGACUGUAGAUAGCUGAUCUCAUCGAGGACU
RNAcentral lists this small RNA (155 nucleotides) under Theobroma cacao (cacao). RNAcentral describes it as "sRNA Tc05v2_g008450". The record is from RNAcentral. Lineage: Eukaryota; Viridiplantae; Streptophyta; Magnoliopsida; Malvales; Malvaceae.